GGGAAUAUUGCACAAUGGGCGAAAGCCUGAUGCAGCAACGCCGCGUGAGGGAUGACGGCCUUCGGGUUGUAAACCUCUUUUAGCAGGGAAGAAGCGAAAGUGACGGUACCUGCAGAAAAAGCGCCGGCUAACUACGUGCCAGCAGCCGCGGUAAUACGUAGGGCGCAAGCGUUAUCCGGAAUUAUUGGGCGUAAAGAGCUCGUAGGCGGUUUGUCGCGUCUGCUGUGAAAUCCCGAGGCUCAACCUCGGGUCUGCAGUGGGUACGGGCAGACUAGAGUGCGGUAGGGGAGAUUGGAAUUCCUGGUGUAGCGGUGGAAUGCGCAGAUAUCAGGAGGAACACCGAUGGCGAAGGCAGAUCUCUGGGCCGUUACUGACGCUGAGGAGCGAAAGGGUGGGGAGCAAACAGGCUUAGAUACCCUGGUAGUCCACCCCGUAAACGUUGGGAACUAGUUGUGGGGUCCAUUCCACGGAUUCCGUGACGCAGCUAACGCAUUAAGUUCCCCGCCUGGGGAGUACGGCCGCAAGGCUAAAACUCAAAGGAAUUGACGGGGACCCGCACAAGCGGCGGAGCAUGCGGAUUAAUUCGAUGCAACGCGAAGAACCUUACCAAGGCUUGACAUAUACGAGAACGGGCCAGAAAUGGUCAACUCUUUGGACACUCGUAAACAGGUGGUGCAUGGUUGUCGUCAGCUCGUGUCGUGAGAUGUUGGGUUAAGUCCCGCAACGAGCGCAACCCUCGUUCUAUGUUGCCAGCACGUAAUGGUGGGAACUCAUGGGAUACUGCCGGGGUCAACUCGGAGGAAGGUGGGGAUGACGUCAAAUCAUCAUGCCCCUUAUGUCUUGGGCUUCACGCAUGCUACAAUGGCCGGUACAAAGGGCUGCAAUACCGUGAGGUGGAGCGAAUCCCAAAAAGCCGGUCCCAGUUCGGAUUGAGGUCUGCAACUCGACCUCAUGAAGUCGGAGUCGCUAGUAAUCGCAGAUCAGCAACGCUGCGGUGAAUACGUUCCCGGGUCUUGUACACACCGCCCGUCAAGUCAUGAAAGUCGGUAACACCUGAAGCCGGUGGCCCAACCC
Molecule: ribosomal RNA, 1074 nt
Filed under: Microbacterium oleivorans
Lineage: Bacteria; Bacillati; Actinomycetota; Actinomycetes; Micrococcales; Microbacteriaceae
Description: bacterial SSU rRNA
Rfam family: Bacterial small subunit ribosomal RNA
Source: RNAcentral